AKAGUUUGAUCCUGGGGUCAGAAUGAACGCUGGCGGUUUGUCUUACAGCGAUGCAAGUCGAACGNAAGGUAUGUGAUGCYUAGCUGCUCUUGUACUUCCGGGA
Molecule: ribosomal RNA, 103 nt
Filed under: uncultured Gammaproteobacteria bacterium
Lineage: Bacteria; Pseudomonadati; Pseudomonadota; Gammaproteobacteria
Description: partial 16S ribosomal RNA
Source: RNAcentral